UUAGUUAUUUUCUUUAAACCCAAAGAAUUUGGCGGUGUUUUAUUCCAUUCAGAGGAACUUGUCCUAUAAUCGAUAGUCCUCGUUUUAUCUUGCUUUAAUUUAAUUAGUAUGUAUACCGCCGUUAUAAGUUUAUUUUUUUAGAUUUUAUUUACUAUUAAUUUUAUUAAAUUUUAUUUCAGGUCAAGGUGCAGCUUAUAAUUAAGUGGUGAUGAGUUACAAUAUUAUUUCAAUAAAUGGAUUCUUCUUUGAAAUUUUUGAUGAAAGUGGAUUUGAUAGUAAUUAUUUUCAUAAAGUUAUUUUGAUUUUGGCUCUAGAACAAGUACACAUCGCCCGUCGCU
RNAcentral lists this ribosomal RNA (338 nucleotides) under Sungaya inexpectata. RNAcentral describes it as "partial 12S ribosomal RNA". Lineage: Eukaryota; Metazoa; Arthropoda; Insecta; Phasmatodea; Heteropterygidae. The record is from RNAcentral.